This 1017-nucleotide long non-coding RNA is filed under the name Canis lupus familiaris (dog). RNAcentral describes it as "lncRNA (ENSCAFG00030015729.1)". The record is from RNAcentral. Lineage: Eukaryota; Metazoa; Chordata; Mammalia; Carnivora; Canidae.
CGGAGGGCGCGGAGGGCGCGGAGGGGGCGCGCGGGGAGGGCGCGGAGGGCGCGGGGCGGGCGUGCGCCCAGGGCGCGCGGCGGCGGACCAGGGCAGUCGGGGCGGCGGGGGCCGGGCGGGGACAGUCGGGAGGGAGGGCCGAGGGAGGGCCCGCCAAGGACUUACCGGGACCGCAAAUCCAGCCGCCGGAACCUCCCCGGGAGAGGCGGGGGCCACGGGGCCUGGCGCGCGCCCUGCGCCCCACGUGCGCCCCCCACCCCGGGACCCCGAGGCCGCGCCGGGGCCCCCACCCGCCCGCCCGCCGCCCACGCGCGCUCCCCGGCGCCGGCCGUCGCCACAGGGAAGGCCACCUGCGUCCCGCGGGCUCUGGCGGGCGGGGCUCCAGGGCGGUCGCUCUCCCUCCUCGCUCGGCCCGGUCAGGGAGGCGCGGGGUCAAGUGAGGCGGAGCCGCCUGGGUCCCCGCCAGGGCCGGUCAGCACUUUCCACCCGGCUGGAGCUCGUCAGGCCCCGGAAUCCCCCCUGGCAGGACUAGCCCGGGCUGCUGGUCUGGGGGGGGGGUGGGGACUGGGGUCGGGGCUAGGGGCAAGGGGGGGGCAGGGACCUGGGGGCAGAGGCUGGAGCAGGGGCUGGGGGCAGGGACCUGGGGCAGAGGCUUGGGAGCAAGGGCCCGGGGGUAGGGACCUGGGGGCAGGGGCUGGAGCAGGGGCCUGGGGGCAGGGGCUGGGGGCAGGGGCCCAGGGGCAGGGACCUGGGGGCAGAGGCUGGAGCAGGGGCCUGGGGGCAGGGGCUGGGGGCAGGGACCUGGGGCAGAGGCUUGGGAGCAAGGGCCCCGGGGGUAGGGACCUGGGGGCAGGGGCUGGAGCAGGGGCCUGGGGGCAGGGACCUGGGGGCAGGGGCUGGAGCAGGGGCCUGGGGACAGGGGCUGGGGGCAGGGACCUGGGGGCAGGGGCUGGAGCAGGGGCCUGGGGACAGGGGCUGGGGACAGGGAACUGGGGCAGAGGCCUGGCUCCUCAGUGA